Molecule: ribosomal RNA, 124 nt
Filed under: uncultured bacterium
Lineage: Bacteria
Description: partial 16S ribosomal RNA
Source: RNAcentral
AGGUACCAUCAAACGUCUGCACUAUUCAUGCAAACGCGAUUUUUCCCUUAUGACAGGAGUUUACGACCCGAAAGCCUUCAUCCUCCACGCAGCGUCGCAUCAUCACGCUUUCGCGCAUUGUGAA